UGAAUACGAGAUGCUACGGCGUCGAAGCAGUCUAUGUCAUACUUCCAAGAAAAGCUUGCACUGUCAUAAACAAAUAAUGCCUGUACCAUAACCGACACAGGUGGGUAGGUAGAGUAUACUAAGGGGCGCGAGAUAACUCUCUCUAAGGAACUCGGCAAAAUGACUCCGUAACUUCGGGAGAAGGAGUGCCUUAUUUAUAAGGUUGCAAUAACAAGACCCAAGCAACUGUUUAUCAAAAACACAGGUCUCCGCUAAGUCGUAAGACGAUGUAUGGGGGCUGACGCCUGCCCAGUGCCAGAAGGUUAAAGAAGUUGGUUAGCAUUAGCGAAGCUGAUGACUGAAGCCCUGGUGAACGGCGGCCGUAACAAUAACGGUCCUAAGGUAGCGAAAUUCCUUGUCGGGUAAGUUCCGACCCGCACGAAAGGCGUAAUGAUUUGGGUACUGUCUCAGAGAGGGACUCGGUGAAAUAGACUUGUCUGUGAAGAUGCGGACUACCUGCACCUGGACAGAAAGACCCUAUGAAGCUUUACUGUAACCUGAAAUUGAAAUUGGACUUUAUUUGCGCAGUAUAGGUGGGAGGCUUUGAAGAUAUUCUUGCGGGAAUGUUGGAGCCAUCAGUGAGAUACCACUCUUGUAAUGUUAGAUUUCUAACUUUGUAUCAUUAUCUGGUCAAAGAACAGUUUCAGGCGGGCAGUUUGACUGGGGCGGUCGCCUCCUAAACGGUAACGGAGGCGCACAAAGGUUUCCUCUGAACGGGUAGAAAUCGUAUCUAGAGUGUAAAGGCAUAAGGAAGCUUGACUGUGAGACCUACAAGUCGAGCAGGGACGAAAGUCGGUCUUAGUGAUCUGACGGUGCUGAGUGGAAAGGCCGUCACUCAACGGAUAAAAGUUACUCUAAGGAUAACAGGCUGAUCUCCCCCAAGAGUUCACAUCGACGGGGAGGUUUGGCACCUCGAUGUCGGCUCAUCGCAUCCUGGGGCGGUAGUACGUCCCAAGGGUUGGGCUGUUCGCCCAUGAAAGUGGUACGCGAGCUGGGUUCAGAACGUCGUGAGACAGUUCGGUCCAUAUCCGGUGUAGGCGUUAGAAUAUUGAGAGGAGCCUUCUCUAGUACGAGAGGACCGAGAAGGACACACCUCUGGUGUACCAGUUAUCGUGCCAACGGUAAACGCUGGGUAGCUAUGUGUGGAGCGGAUAACCGCUGAAAGCAUCUAAGUGGGAAGCCCACCUCAAGAUAAGUAUUCUCAU
RNAcentral lists this ribosomal RNA (1244 nucleotides) under metagenome. RNAcentral's name for it is "bacterial LSU rRNA". It matches the Rfam family "Bacterial large subunit ribosomal RNA", at positions 1564 to 2817 of the family's 2925-position model. The record is from RNAcentral.